Molecule: long non-coding RNA, 776 nt
Organism: Cygnus olor (mute swan)
Lineage: Eukaryota; Metazoa; Chordata; Aves; Anseriformes; Anatidae
Exons: 4
Source: RefSeq, a predicted model, not a curated record
GUGAUGUCACUUCUGGCUUACCAUUUGACCUCAGAUUGCUUUGCAAAGGAAAUAUGGUUUGAAAGAAUGGCCUGGAAUAGAAACUUCACCACAGUAUUAUGGGAGACCUGACAAAAAUCAAAGGCUGGAACUUCCCAGGCAACUGAAGUUCUCUUUUGAACAGCUAUGCUCAUCUUUGCAAGAAACUUCACCCUUCUGACCAGUAAGGGCAUUUGACACACAGACUCUGGAAGGAAAUUUAAAGAGUGAUGCAUGUGCCCCCAAAGGAGCUGGACAGGAGGACACUGAGCACAAGAACAAUGGUGACAUUAGCCAGGCACUUAAGGUCCAUCAGACUUCUGCAGAUCUCUUCACUUUCUAUGCAAUAAAGUCAUGCUACAUGAGUGUUUAUGUUCACAUAGGAGUGUUUUUUUUAAGAAUUUCUGUAUUUCAUAACAGCAGCAUGCACAGGGGCUCCGGGACAAGUAACAGGUGAUGGAACAAUCAAUAUAAUUACUGGAUCUUUUACUUUUACAGACGUUGUUCAGGAAGUAGCUUUCGGCAUAGGAAAACAUUUUUGAUCUCCCAUAUCCAAGGCCUGCUGGUAUUAACCCCACUGCAGUUCACAGAGUAGGUAUGUCUCCUGUGGAUUCUCACAGGAGGCAAAAUGACACUUUAAUGCCUUUUUAGAAAUAUACAUGCUGAAACAGAAGAGAAAUUUCGAGGAUCCAGAGGUUACAAUUUUGUUUUCAGUAGUUUUCCAGUAUGCAAAAACGGGGGAGGGUGGAGGAAACAAG